This 3012-nucleotide ribosomal RNA is filed under the name Desulfatirhabdium butyrativorans DSM 18734. RNAcentral describes it as "bacterial LSU rRNA". It matches the Rfam family "Bacterial large subunit ribosomal RNA". The record is from RNAcentral. Lineage: Bacteria; Pseudomonadati; Thermodesulfobacteriota; Desulfobacteria; Desulfobacterales; Desulfatirhabdiaceae.
CCAAGCUAUGAAGGGCAAGCGGUGGAUGCCUUGGCGCUAAGAGGCGAGGAAAGACGUGGUGGGCUGCGAAAAGCAUCGGGGAGUUGCCUAGCGAGCUGUGAUCCGGUGGUAUCUGAAUGGGGGAACCCGUGUGGGGUAAUACCUGCACAUUCAUACAUGAAUACAUAGUGUAUGGAGGCCAACGAGGGGAACUGAAACAUCUUAGUACCCUUAGGAAGAGAAAACAACAGUGAUUCUCCGAGUAGCGGUGAGCGAAAGGGGAAGAGCCUAAACCUGUCGUAUGUGAUAGGCCGUGACCGUUGUACGGCAGGGGUAGUGGGUGCAUAUUGGGCCUCAGUUACGGAUGGGCCGGUAAGUUACAAAGUCGAUUUAUAGGCGAACGAUCUGGAAGGAUUGGCCAUAGGGGGUGAGAGUCCCGUAGCCGAAAUGAAUCGAUCUUACUGGGUAUGCAACCCGAGUACUGCGGAGCACGUGGAAUUCCGUAGGAAUCAGGGAGGACCAUCUUCCAAGGCUAAAUACUACUUAGCGACCGAUAGUGGACGAGUACCGUGAGGGAAAGGUGAAAAGUACUCCGGAGAGGAGAGUGAAAUAGUACCUGAAACCGUUUGCCUACAAGCAGUGGGAGGGUCAUGUAUGGUUUAGGCCAUACGGCCUGACUGCGUGCCUUUUGCAUAAUGAGUCAGCGAGUUAUUCUACGUAGCGAGGUUAAGCCGAUAGGUGUAGCCGUAGCGAAAGCGAGUCUGAACAGGGCGAGUGAGUUACGUGGAGUAGACCCGAAACCAGGUGAUCUAUCCAUGGUCAGAGUGAAGCGCAAGUAAAAUUGUGUGGAGGCUCGAACCGGUGUAUGUUGAAAAAUGCUCGGAUGAACUGUGGAUAGGGGUGAAAGGCCAAACAAACUUGGAAAUAGCUGGUUCUCCCCGAAAUAUAUUUAGGUAUAGCCUUGUAGGGUUAUCGAUGGGGGUAGAGCACUGGAUGGGCUAGGGGUCCUACCAGAUUACCAACCCCAACCAAACUCCGAAUACCAUCGAGAUAUACUACAGGAGUCAGACUACGGGAGCUAAGUUUCGUGGUCGAGAGGGAAACAGCCCGGAUCGCCAGCUAAGGUCCCCAAGUGCGUGCUAAGUGGGAAAGGAAGUGGGAAUGCCCAGACAACCAGGAGGUUGGCUUAGAAGCAGCCAUCCUUUAAAGAAAGCGUAAUAGCUCACUGGUCGAGUGAACCUGCGCCGAAAAUGUAACGGGGCUCAAGCACGUCACCGAAGCUGCGGGAUAUUCUUUUGGGAAUAUCGGUAGGGGAGUAUUGUGUACGGGUAGAAGUACGACCGUAAGGACGUGUGGACUGUACACAAGAGCGUAUGCUGACAUGAGUAACGAUAAAGCGGGUGAAAAACCCGCUCGCCGAAAACCUAAGGUUUCCUGGGUAAAGUUCAUCUUCCCAGGGUUAGUCGAUCCCUAAGCCGAGGCCGCAAGGCGUAGGUGAUGGAAAACAGGUUAAUAUUCCUGUACCACCGUUGUAUCGUUUGAGAGAAGGGGGGACGCAGGAGGGUAGGUCAGCCGUCUGGUGGAAUAGGCGGUUCAAGCUGGUAGGCAGAAAGCGCAGGCAAAUCCGCGCUUUUAAUACAAAUGCCGAGCGGUGAUGAGGAUUCGGGCAACCGGAGCAAACUGACUGAUCCCAUGCUGACAAGAAAAGCCUCUAUCGAGAUACAUGGGUGAUCGUACCGCAAACCGACACAGGUAGGUGAGGAGAGAAUCCUAAGGCGCUUGAGAGAACCCUGGUUAAGGAACUCGGCAAAAUGACACCGUAACUUCGGGAUAAGGUGUGCCUUUGGUCGUAGAGUUUAAAGCAAGCCGAGCGAUUGAAGGCCGCAGAGAAAUGGCGGUAGCGACUGUUUACUAAAAACAUAGGACUCUGCAAAGUCGAAAGACGAGGUAUAGGGUCUGACGCCUGCCCGGUGCUGGAAGGUUAAGGGGAUUUGUUAGGGCAACCGAAGCAUUGAACCGAAGCCCCAGUAAACGGCGGCCGUAACUAUAACGGUCCUAAGGUAGCGAAAUUCCUUGUCGGGUAAGUUCCGACCUGCACGAAUGGCGUAACGACUUCCGCACUGUCUCAACCAGGGACUCAGUGAAAUUGAAUUCUCGGUGAAGAUGCCGAGUACCCGCGAAAAGACGGAAAGACCCCGGCACCUUUACUACAGCUUGACAUUGGAUUUUGGAAUAGCAUGUGUAGGAUAGGUGGGAGGCUGGGAAGUUGUGCCGCCAGGUGCGAUGGAGCCGACCUUGAAAUACCACCCUUGCUAUUUUAGAGUUCUAACUUGCGUCCAUGAACUGGGCCAAGGACAGUGUCUGGUGGGUAGUUUGACUGGGGCGGUCGCCUCCCAAAGAGUAACGGAGGCGCGCGAAGGUUCCCUCAGGCUGAUUGGAAACCAGCCGUUGAGUGUAAAGGCAAAAGGGAGCUUGACUGCGAGAGAGACAUUUCGAGCAGGUACGAAAGUAGGUCUUAGUGAUCCGGCGGUUCUGAAUGGAAGGGCCGUCGCUCAACGGAUAAAAGGUACGCCGGGGAUAACAGGCUAAUCGCCCCCAAGAGUUCACAUCGACGGGGCGGUUUGGCACCUCGAUGUCGGCUCAUCACAUCCUGGGGCUGGAGCAGGUCCCAAGGGUUCGGCUGUUCGCCGAUUAAAGUGGUACGUGAGCUGGGUUUAAAACGUCGUGAGACAGUUUGGUCCCUAUCUUUCGUGGGCGCAGGAUAUUUGAGAGGCUCUGUUCUUAGUACGAGAGGACCGGAAUGGACGAACCAAUGGUGUUCCAGUUGUCGUGCCAACGGCAUAGCUGGGUAGCCAAGUUCGGAACGGAUAACCGCUGAAAGCAUCUAAGCGGGAAGCCGACCUCAAGAUGAGAUAUCCCUUCAGGGAGACCUGACAGAAGACACCUUGAAGACGACGAGGUAGAUAGGCCGGGUGUGUAAGUGCAGUGAUGCAUUGAGCUUACCGGUACUAAUCAGUCGUGAGGCUUGGCCAC